Molecule: long non-coding RNA, 1100 nt
Filed under: Brassica napus (rape)
Lineage: Eukaryota; Viridiplantae; Streptophyta; Magnoliopsida; Brassicales; Brassicaceae
Description: long non-coding RNA (BNAP_LNC014873)
Source: RNAcentral
UUUUUUUUUAAAACAGAAUUUCACUUAUUUGAGAUGGUCCAAUAGAAGACAAUAUAGCAAAACAGUUUGCGGGUAAAACAAAACAAAUGUAAUAACAAAACAUUAAAAACAGCAAAAAGUACCAGUAGGUACCAUCAAAAGUCCAUAUAGAGCACCCAAAAGAAAAAGUGGAUCUUAUAAAGAGUGAGCGUAGAAGCAUGAAAGGAUGAAGAUCCAUUAGACAUGCAAGUAGAAACUUAGAAAAUGAUCUUAGUCUUGAGACUGACGAUAGGAUUUAACCAAAUCGGACCACCCCAAGCUAGUAAAUGUGAGCAGAAUCACAACAUUAAUUACUUGCAACAACAUCAUCUGCAAAUCGUUUUCUCGUGAAACCUGAAAGGAGGAUAAAGACCAAAGCCUUAAUCUGACUGAAUGAAUGAAAAUCCAUGAGUUAGAACCCUGAAAAUUACAAGCUCUACUUUAUCUACAAUAGCGGCUUGAGAAGAACGCAACAUGAUCCAAAGUACGACUCAAAAUGAUGAAUCACUACCCAUUCAGAUCAGUGACACUAAAACAGCUCCUCGUAGAAGUAUCAGUCUCCAAAAACAAAACUUACUCUAAAACAUUGACUUGAGGAGCAUACCGCACAUGAGGAAGAGUUUGGGAGAUAAAAGAGAGAAGCCACUGCGAAGAAACUCCGCCACCUCCCCCAACAAGAGAUGCAAAGAAGCAGCGAACAAACCGAAAAGAAAACACUGCAAACAACCAGCACGGCGAACCAGCGAACAAAAUAAACAGAAAAAGAAACAUAACAGAAACACAAUCUCUACUUGAAUCACAUGAAAUCAGAAAAAAAAAAAGAUAAACCCCACCGUCGAUUGAAGGACCCAGAGCUCCGACCUCAGUGCAAGAUGAUAGAAGACAAUCGAAUCUGAGACUCAGAACCUCUCCUAAUCCCAUAUCAUCAACAAAACGUCAGACUCUGGCUAUCAAGAGAAGAAGGCCAGAUGAUACACAUCUAACAAAAAAGAAAAACAAGGAAAGAAAGGAGGGGAGACCAGCUCCAAUGCUAUUGAAGCCAUCAGAGCCGGUCUCAAUUCUAAUAUGUCUAUGGACACAUA